UAUGUCGGGGCACAAAACUGAUAUGAGUUUCUUCCACAUUACAAUUACUGCACUUAGCAGUUACUAGCACUAAGUGUUAAGCGUUCCAUAAUUUCCAAUCAUUCAGGUGUGGCCGAUUGAGGGUAUCAAGAAGUUCGAGACCCUGUCUUACUUGCCACCCCUCACCACGGAGGCCCUCCUGAAGCAGGUUGACUACCUGAUCCGCUCCAAGUGGGUGCCCUGCCUCGAGUUCAGCAAGGUUGGCUUCGUCUUCCGUGAGCACAACAGCUCCCCCGGGUACUACGACGGCCGAUACUGGACAAUGUGGAAGCUGCCUAUGUUUGGGUGCACCGACGCUACACAGGUGCUUAACGAGGUGGAGGAGGUCAAGAAGGAGUACCCUGACGCUUACGUACGUAUCAUCGGCUUCGACAACCUGCGGCAGGUGCAGUGCGUCAGCUUCAUCGCCUUCAGGCCACCGGGUUGCGAGGAGUCCGGCAAGGCAUAAACUACGAGGUGAAAGAAUGGCCUAUGUCGUAUGAAGGUCNGCAAGGCUGGAAAAAGGAUUUGUGGCAAUCACACAUUGACAUGGACGACUGAAAUUUUCGGCACACACAACGCAUCCAACGGCCAUGCCUCUUACACUAAUCCGGAGAGAUAAGGAAACCAGGCAACCAACAAACGCCAGCCACCCCUUCCACAUCUUGAUUAAAGAUAGGAGCUCACAUGGCUAUAUAUACCGUGCUGAACAGGCAAUGGGGGCCUCAAGUGUAGCCGGCAUCCUCCUCUCUACAGUUAAUACAGUACCAUGGCCCCCGCCGUGAUGGCUUCGUCGGCUACCACCGUCGCACCCUUCCAGGGGCUCAAGUCCACAGCUGGUCUCCCUGUCAGCCGCCGCUCCAGCGCCAGCCUCGGCAGCGUCAGCAAUGGCGGAAGGAUCAGGUGCAUGCAGGUAUGUCGGGGCACAAAACUGAUAUGAGUUUCUUCCACAUUACAAUUACUGCACUUAGCAGUUACUAGCACUAAGUGUUAAGCGUUCCAUAAUUUCCAAUCAUUCAGGUGUGGCCGAUUGAGGGUAUCAAGAAGUUCGAGACCCUGUCUUACUUGCCACCCCUCACCACGGAGGCCCUCCUGAAGCAGGUUGACUAC
Molecule: long non-coding RNA, 1128 nt
Filed under: Hordeum vulgare
Lineage: Eukaryota; Viridiplantae; Streptophyta; Magnoliopsida; Poales; Poaceae
Description: long non-coding RNA (HVUL_LNC002673)
Source: RNAcentral